RNAcentral lists this ribosomal RNA (432 nucleotides) under uncultured bacterium. RNAcentral describes it as "partial 16S ribosomal RNA". It matches the Rfam family "Bacterial small subunit ribosomal RNA", at positions 29 to 506 of the family's 1533-position model. The record is from RNAcentral.
AGCGAACGCUGGCGGCAGGCUUAACACAUGCAAGUCGAGCGGGCCCUUCGGGGUCAGCGGCGGACGGGUGAGUAACGCGUGGGAACGUGCCUUCUGGUCUGGAAUAACCCUGGGAAACUAGGGCUAAUACCGGAUACGCCCUUUUGGGGAAAGGUUUACUGCCGGAAGAUCGGCCCGCGUCUGAUUAGCUAGUUGGUGGGGUAACGGCCUACCAAGGCGACGAUCAGUAGCUGGUCUGAGAGGAUGAUCAGCCACACUGGGACUGAGACACGGCCCAGACUCCUACGGGAGGUAGCAGUGGGGAAUAUUGGACAAUGGGCGCAAGCCUGAUCCAGCCAUGCCGCGUGAGUGAUGAAGGCCUUAGGGUUGUAAAGCUCUUUUAUCCGGGACGAUAAUGACGGUACCGGAGGAAUAAGCCCCGGCUAACUUCGU